UCUGUGGCUGGAUCAGCCUCAUGUGUCUUCUUCUGGUUGUUGCCAUGGCUAUGGUGUGUUCACUUUGAGACGAUGAAAGCCUUGGAUGCGUGCUACGAUUUUUCAUGUUUUAGAUGAAUCAAAUACUGUUGAUCCAGCCUACAAUCGCAGCUUCUUGCUACUGCGCUACACAACAGAUUUUUGGAUGAUUUCCUUUUUGGUUUUGGAUCGUCGUCGAAGACGAGCUCCUAAGGUAUGGCGUCUCCGGUUUCCAUCGUCGAAGGGAAGAUCAAAGAAGCCCAAGAAGCACUAGUCAACAACGGAUGCCAAGGAGCAGCAGACUCUGCUGGAAAAAGGGAGCCAGCUGGGAAAGUACAAGCUGCUGCUGCGCAGGAAGAAGCUUCUCUUAUUGAAGGAGAUGGAACUGGAGAAGGAGCUAUCGAAGCUCAUUCCUUGGGGGGGACUGACUCCUGAAUGUGCCCUGUAAGUUUAGUGACAAGAGGGCGAUUUAUAUUCGCCCUUGAAAACCUUGUUUCACAAGGUUUUCAACUCGGAGUACACGUUCACUCACAUCUCUGGCAAUCCGGGCAUCGGCAAGUCAUGUUGUUUGUGGUACUUUGUUUCACGGCUACGCGAGAAGGGUUGUAGUGCAGCUGGUGGCACUAGAACACUCCUACUUCUAUUAUUUCGAUCCUAGUGGCAAGUGUUUCGAGGUACCCGACCAUGACAUGAAGCACAUUUGUGGAGUGGAGUUUGUCUCCUCGUGGUGCCUGAGGUCUUUUAUCAGUCCCAGCUGAAUAAGUGACUGGAGCUCGUCAGCAAAACCAAGUUCAUUCCAACACUUGCUGCAGCCGCUAGAGGUGUCUUUGACGACUUCGCUCAUUCCAUUCUAAGUAGAGGAGGGAAGUUCCCGUUGGCCGAUGGUAGCACGAUCACCCUUCCACCAGCAAGAAUCAAGCAUCACUAUGGCAACAGCUUCCCUUUUACCACCAUGGACAUGGACAAGUAUGUUCUUACUCCGAGCCAGAACUAUCCCCUCGUGGAUGCGUUUGGUGGUGAGUUUGAGUAUCUGCUUCAAGUAACUUCCUCCAAGAACUGCUUUGUGGGAAGGAGCCUAUCUUCCUAGUAGUCACUCCAGAAGGCAGCUCUCAGAUGCCGUAUAUCAAGCUCAAGGUACCUUUGAAGGAUGAAAGUGGGAAUGUUUUGCGUACACCUAAAGGGCGGGUCUCUUAUUCAACGGAGAACUUGGAAGCAUUGGCAUCAUCUGGUUCUCCCUCGACCUGAGACAGCAGAUGCUGUUCAUCAUUAUCGCCUGAAGUUGGAGGAGGUGAUGGAAGAUAUGGGGCUUGCUGCAGAGCAGGGGCAACCAGUAUUUGGAGAAGAGGAAGGAGCCUGUCUAAAAUGUGGGCAGUCUGAAGGGUGUGAUGUGUGCCAGAGUUGGUAUCACUUGUCAAUAUUUGUUUAUCAAAAAAAUUUGAGUUGUUCUGGUUUA
Long non-coding RNA from Selaginella moellendorffii, 1471 nucleotides. RefSeq lists it as uncharacterized. The record is from RefSeq and is a predicted model, not a curated record. NCBI's taxonomy places the organism in Eukaryota, Viridiplantae, Streptophyta, Lycopodiopsida, Selaginellales, Selaginellaceae. The transcript is spliced from 2 exons.